GAGACAGCCACAUCCUCUCACCAGAAUGAGAGAUCUGUAUUUAUGAGAACUAGGAUUUCAUCAGCCUCUUCAUCAGCCAGGAGACAACGCUGCAUGCAUCCGCCGCUGACUUUGUACAGAGCUGUGGCUUUCCUGUUGGGUGCACAUCAGAAUCACCUGGGCAACACCCUCCAACUGCAGGGGACACCAAGUUUCUGAGUUCUGUAACCACAGGAGCAGAGGUUUCCAGCUUACUUGUACAUCUCUGAAUGUUCCUUCUGAAAUGUCAGCGAUUCUCCACCCCGAACUCCACUGUGGUGUGUCUGCUCCCUCCGACUCGCAUUGCUUUCUACCUCUUCAUAAACUGAGAAACCAUUUCCCGCACACCUGGCACUGCUAUACACCAUCCUGAAGAAAGAGUGGCAGGCAAGCUCGCCAGUUACCCUGUCAUCCCGGAACAUGUGGUCCACAGGAC
Long non-coding RNA from Meriones unguiculatus (Mongolian gerbil), 454 nucleotides. RefSeq lists it as uncharacterized. NCBI's taxonomy places the organism in Eukaryota, Metazoa, Chordata, Mammalia, Rodentia, Muridae. The record is from RefSeq and is a predicted model, not a curated record. The transcript has 3 exons.